GAUGAACGCUAGCGGCAGGCUUAACACAUGCAAGUCGAGGGGUAACAGAGGUAGCUUGCUACUUGCUGACGACCGGCGCACGGGUGCGUAACGCGUAUAGAACCUACCUUUUACAGAGGGAUAGCCCAGAGAAAUUUGGAUUAAUACCUCAUGGCAUUAUGAAUUGGCAUCAGUUUAUAAUUAAACAUUUAUGGGUAAAAGAUGGCUAUGCGUUCUAUUAGUUAGUUGGUAAGGUAACGGCUUACCAAGACAUCGAUAGAUAGGGGUCCUGAGAGGGAGAUCCCCCACACUGGUACUGAGACACGGACCAG
RNAcentral lists this ribosomal RNA (311 nucleotides) under uncultured bacterium. RNAcentral's name for it is "bacterial SSU rRNA". It matches the Rfam family "Bacterial small subunit ribosomal RNA", at positions 28 to 334 of the family's 1533-position model. The record is from RNAcentral.